CCUUUUACCUACCUGACUUGUACACACUUUUGGCAUCUCUUGGGUGACUGCUCUGACCAUCUUCUUAGUGACCCUAGGUGCCACUACAGUGUUUUCGUAAUGCACUGAAUUUACCACAUUGCAUUACAGUUCCUUGCAGUGGGUUGAUUCCCAAACAAAUGCCCCAGAUUAGUUUUAUAAUGAGAAUCUUUAGUGAUUAUUCCCAUUUGUGCCUGAGUUUUUUCUAU
Molecule: long non-coding RNA, 227 nt
Filed under: Bos taurus (domestic cattle)
Lineage: Eukaryota; Metazoa; Chordata; Mammalia; Artiodactyla; Bovidae
Description: long non-coding RNA NONBTAT007129
Source: RNAcentral